This 400-nucleotide ribosomal RNA is filed under the name uncultured bacterium. RNAcentral's name for it is "bacterial SSU rRNA". It matches the Rfam family "Bacterial small subunit ribosomal RNA", at positions 355 to 752 of the family's 1533-position model. The record is from RNAcentral.
UGAGGAAUAUUGGUCAAUGGGCGAGAGCCUGAACCAGCCAAGUAGCGUGCAGGAUGACGGCCCUAUGGGUUGUAAACUGCUUUUGUACGGGGAUAAAGUGGGGGUCGUGACCCCUAUUGCAGGUACCGUACGAAUAAGGACCGGCUAAUUCCGUGCCAGCAGCCGCGGUAAUACGGAAGGUCCGGGCGUUAUCCGGAUUUAUUGGGUUUAAAGGGAGCGUAGGCCGUCUUUUAAGCGUGUUGUGAAAUGUAGGGGCUCAACCUCUGCACUGCAGCGCGAACUGGAAGACUUGAGAGUGCACGAGGCAGGCGGAAUUUGUGGUGUAGCGGUGAAAUGCUUAGAUAUCACGAAGAACUCCGAUUGCGAAGGCAGCUUGCCGGAGCAUUUCUGACGCUGAAGC